This 179-nucleotide non-coding RNA is filed under the name Halanaerobiales bacterium. RNAcentral describes it as "6S RNA". It matches the Rfam family "6S / SsrS RNA". Rfam says of the family: E. coli 6S RNA was the first non coding RNA to be sequenced, but its function was unknown until recently. It consists of 184 nucleotides that fold into an extended hairpin structure with a large single-stranded internal bulge. The 6S RNA specifically associates with RNA polymerase holoenzyme containing the sigma70 specificity factor. The record is from RNAcentral. Lineage: Bacteria; Bacillati; Bacillota; Clostridia; Halanaerobiales.
AAAGGUCUGCUGUGUUUGCGAGGAUUAUAAAAAAUUUUGACCAACACAUAUUGAAAGGGAGCCUGGUCUCUGUCUGCGGCAUAUAAGCCUUUAGAAGGACAUAUAAACCAGAUAGGAGGGCACCCACCUUGCGGAAAGGGAUCAAAAUUAAAUGAUUCCAGCGGCAGAGCGGACAUUUU